RNAcentral lists this long non-coding RNA (268 nucleotides) under Lathyrus oleraceus (garden pea). Its description in RNAcentral is "Pisum sativum (pea) long non-coding RNA (PSAT_LNC033729)". The record is from RNAcentral. Lineage: Eukaryota; Viridiplantae; Streptophyta; Magnoliopsida; Fabales; Fabaceae.
AAUGUAUCAUGGAGAUGAAUGGAGUGAUAGGGAGAAUAACCAAAGUCAAAGAAUUGAGGUUUUUGGUGAAAGUGACUGAACAGUAUAAUUAGGAACCAAAGGUAAGGGUAUAUUGGAAUCCAUAGGGGUAACUAGUAUUUGCAACCCAAGAGUAAAGAGAGAAAGUCAGAGCAUUCGUAGUUCGUGAAACCACGAGAAAGAAGAGAAGAGAUAAGGAAGUGUUUGCCUAAGCAACUUGGACUAACAAGACAAACAACUUCAAGGGUAU